This 2702-nucleotide long non-coding RNA is filed under the name Gallus gallus (chicken). RNAcentral's name for it is "lncRNA (ENSGALG00010015726.1)". Lineage: Eukaryota; Metazoa; Chordata; Aves; Galliformes; Phasianidae. The record is from RNAcentral.
AUUUAAGGGCUGACUCCCAAGGAGAAAGGAUCUCUAUCUGGAGAUCACCUCUCUUGGAUCCCUUCUGUGAGCCCAGGACAUGGACACUGAGGCUCCUGAGGGAUAUACCACUGAGGCAGAGCAAUCCCUCCAUGUGGCAGGAUCUUUGCUGUUUGCUGUUGUAAGCAAUGUCAGCGGAUAUUCAAAGGAACUGGAAGUCUGAUGCAACAUAGCUAAGAUCCUUCUGGAAGUUCCAAUCUUAUAAACUUCUUUAAGCAAGACCGGCGUGAGGAAGGAAAGGCAAUUCAUUCUAGAAUUUUAUGAACUUCCUCCUAAAAAAAUCUCCCCAGCUGCUGUUCAGGUUCAUUAUGUUCCUAUCACCAGAGGCUGUUGAAAGGAGACUUCUGAUGAGGUCACUUUGGUGAUGCCAUUUCCAUCAACAUAAAUAACUUCUUGUAAUAGACAGAAGGACACAGUCACCACCCAAAACUUUAGUUUCUAUCUAUGACUUUUCUGUUGGGAACACUGACUUACUCUGUCAGUAGUAGUGUGAAUGAGAUUGACUUCAGGCUGUAAAAAUGCUAACAGAAAAAAAUCAUUCUGCAGUUUACAAUUACUCUUUGAAGUACCAAGGAGGGUGGAGUUUGAGGCAUUCAGGAAACAAGGCAAACUUUUAGUUCUGUUCUGUGAUUUUAAGUGUUAUGUAUAGAUAGAUUCUACCCUCCAGAGUUGGUUAGUAAUACUGAUAAGUAUAAACCAAAACAGGGAAAUUAUAUAUAUAUAUGAUCCACAAAUCCACCUUUGUUUAUAUUUUCAUCUUUUGUCCCUGACAGCAGUAAAAAUCAUGGAAUACUCUAUUAAUUUAAAACUCGAGUAAUUAUAGUUUACUUAUGCUUGAGAAUUUUGUUAAAUUAGUAUUAAUAAUCAUGUUAAAUCACUACCCAGAGACACAGCUGAAAGUUUGAUCUUGUUUAUGUCAACGAUAUAACAAUAAAUUUAAAUAAAUGGGCCCUGCCUCUUCAGAAUUUUAGUAAAAAAUGCUUAAUUCCUGUCAUUUCAAGGACCAUUGAUAAUUACAUUUACAUAAUUAAUGUGGUUUACUUUUAAUAGCACUUAUACUGAACAGUGAGUGUCAGACUGAAUGACUGUACACCACAUGACAGGGGAAAAUUAAUGUAUUUCUGAAUCAUUCAUUUAGUGGGGAAAAAUUGUGUAGAGCAAUGCUGAAUGCCCUUCUAUUGCAUUCUAGUCAAAACAUAAGUGAAUUGACAUACGCAGUUGCUAGAUGAAGCAUACUUCAUGAGGAAGUGCUUGAUACUUGUAUCAUAGAAACGUUAUUUGAAUGUGAUUAGAUUUUGUUUUCUUCUUAAUUUCUCAGUAAUGAUGUAGUAAAUAAUCUGAAAAGUCGCUUUUUACUUCAUAUUGUUUACUAAGGAGACUAGUUGAUGUUUUUACCAGCUGUUCAUUGCAUUUUUUUUAAAUGUAACAGAAUCAAAAGUAGGCAGAAUGGGAGCAUUACAAAAUGUCUUUAAUUCCCACAUCAUGUCUGAGACCUUCUAGAUGAAUGGUUAAUUUACCACUCCAGAUCAUUGACUGUGAUCUCUGCUGCAUAAACAUGGUGGUAAUUUUUCGUCUGAAAUAUUUUUGACAUACAUUUUUGUAGGGGGGGGGGUAAGGACUAUUAGUACUGUCCUGGUUUCAGCUGGAUUAGAGACAACUUUCUUCCAGCUAUUAAACACACUGAUGUUUCAGCUGUUGCUGAGCAGAACUUGUGCAGAACCAAGGACGUUUCAGCUUCUCAAUUUGCCCUGCCAGUGAGGGGGCUGGGAGAGAACAAAACCAGAACAGCUGUCCCAGGCUGGUUAAAGGGAUAUCCCAUACCAUAUACUGUCACGCUGAACAAUAAAGCCAGGCGUAUUUGGCUGGGGGGGCAGGAAGCUGCUGCCUGGGCACCACUCAGUGGGUGGCGAGCUUCAUUAGUAUUGUAUGUUCUUUUGUUUUCUAUUUGUUUUCUGCCCUGUUAAACUGUCCUUAUUUCAGCCCACGAGUCUUACGUUCUUUUCUGCCCCAUCCCAUUUCUGGGGAGUGCUGGGGUGGGAGGAAAUGCUUAUGCCUACAGUGGGAUUUCCAUUAAGCAGUUCAACGAUCUUUUGAAAGCAGAUUAUGCAUUUGGUCUAAACUCUUUUAUGUAUCAGGAGAGAGAAAUAACCACUUUUAAGAUUUUCAGCUUCCAGUCCUCUUCAGAAAUGCCACAACUACCUAUGAAGAGAGGACAAGUAACUCCAAUAUGAAGUCAAGUAGUUGCCUAGAUUAGUCUCAGAGCUGAAAGUAAAUCCACUUUGGUGGAAUAAGAUAGUCUUCAGAAGUUUGUCUUAAUUUAAUCUAUUGGCAUUUAACACAAAGCUUUGCUUAAUCACUUGGGUAUUAUGAGACAAAAAAAGAAUCACAAAAGGUAAGCCACAAGGAAAAAAGCAAACAUUUCAGGGAACACUCUUCCUCCCCCUCCUCAGGCCCAGUGUAAAACAGAUUCUUCUCCUCCUUUCUUCACAAUUUCAGCUUGUUUUUGACCCAGGUAGAACUCACUACCACCAGCAUUCACCUCUGAUCUUGUGGGUCAAUGUAAUAAAAUGGAGGUAUUACUUUUGGAGCAGACCUCAUAAAAUAUCCAAUAUAGUUAAUGUACAUAAGUAGUAAAACUUAUUUUAAUCUUGUACAUGUUUUAU